UACAUGCAAGUCGAACGCUUCUUCUUUCACCGGAGCUUGCUCCACCGAAAGAAAAGGAGUGGCGAACGGGUGAGUAACACGUGGGUAACCUGCCCAUCAGAAGGGGAUAACACUUGGAAACAGGUGCUAAUACCGUAUAACAAUCGAAACCGCAUGGUUUCGGUUUGAAAGGCGCUUUUGCGUCACUGAUGGAUGGACCCGCGGUGCAUUAGCUAGUUGGUGAGGUAACGGCUCACCAAGGCAACGAUGCAUAGCCGACCUGAGAGGGUGAUCGGCCACAUUGGGACUGAGACACGGCCCAAACUCCUACGGGAGGCAGCAGUAGGGAAUCUUCGGCAAUGGACGGAAGUCUGACCGAGCAACGCCGCGUGAGUGAAGAAGGUUUUCGGAUCGUAAAACUCUGUUGUUAGAGAAGAACAAGGAUGAGAGUAGAAUGUUCAUCCCUUGACGGUAUCUAACCAGGAAGCCACGGCUAACUACGUGCCAGCAGCCGCGGUAAUACGUAGGUGGCAAGCGUUGUCCGGAUUUAUUGGGCGUAAAGCGAGCGCAGGCGGUUUCUUAAGUCUGAUGUGAAAGCCCCCGGCUCAACCGGGGAGGGUCAUUGGAAACUGGGAAACUUGAGUGCAGAAGAGGAGAGUGGAAUUCCAUGUGUAGCGGUGAAAUGCGUAGAUAUAUGGAGGAACACCAGUGGCGAAGGCGGCUCUCUGGUCUGUACUGACGCUGAGGCU
This 728-nucleotide ribosomal RNA is filed under the name uncultured Bacilli bacterium. RNAcentral's name for it is "bacterial SSU rRNA". It matches the Rfam family "Bacterial small subunit ribosomal RNA", at positions 52 to 753 of the family's 1533-position model. Lineage: Bacteria; Bacillati; Bacillota; Bacilli. The record is from RNAcentral.